Molecule: ribosomal RNA, 422 nt
Filed under: uncultured bacterium
Lineage: Bacteria
Description: bacterial SSU rRNA
Rfam family: Bacterial small subunit ribosomal RNA
Source: RNAcentral
UGAGGAAUAUUGGGCAAUGUCCGCAAGGGUGACCCAGCAACGCCGCGUGGAGGAUGAAUGUCGUAAGAUUGUAAACUCCUGUUAGAGGGGAAGAAUAGUACCGGUUGGACCGGUAUAUGACUGUACCCUCAGAGAAAGCCCCGGCUAACUACGUGCCAGCAGCCGCGGUAAUACGUAGGGGGCAAGCGUUGUCCGGAUUUACUGGGUGUAAAGGGCGCGCAGGCGGGAUAAAAAGUCAGUGGUGAAAUCCUACAGCUUAACUGUAGAACUGCCUUUGAUACUUUUAUUCUUGAGUUCGGGAGAGAGAGACGGAAUUCCAGGUGUAGUGGUGAAAUACGUAGAUAUCUGGAAGAACACCAGUUGCGAAGGCGGUCUCUUGGUCCGACACUGACGCUGAGGCGCGAAAGCGUGGGGAGCAAACA